AGCACUGUUGUUUAGUGGUUAAAGCAUGAGCCUAGGAGUCUAAAGGACCUGGGUUCUAAUCCCUGCUUUGCCA
Molecule: transfer RNA, 73 nt
Filed under: Ornithorhynchus anatinus (platypus)
Lineage: Eukaryota; Metazoa; Chordata; Mammalia; Monotremata; Ornithorhynchidae
Rfam family: tRNA
About the family: Transfer RNA (tRNA) molecules are approximately 80 nucleotides in length.
Source: Rfam by way of RNAcentral